UUUCUUUGGACAUUAGAUAUAAAUAUCUAACUAUGAAUAAUUUUAAUGAACAGGUCAUAAUAUAUGUAGCUUUUUUUUUUUUUUUUGAGACACAAUCUCAUUCUGUCACCCAGGCUGGAGUGAAAUGGUGCAAUCUCAGCUCACUGCAACUUCUGCCUCCCAGGAACAAGCGAUUCUCCUGCCUCAGCCUGCCAAGUAGCUGGGAUUACAGGCGCGUGCCACCACACCCAGCUAAUUUUUUAUUUUUAGUAGAGAUGGGGUUACACCAUGUCAGGCUGGUGUCGAACUCCUGACCUCAGGUAAUUAACCUGCCUCAGCCUCUCAAAGUGUUGGAAUUACAGGUGUGAGCCACUGCACUCGGCAAUGUAUGUAGUAUUUUUAAAAACUGCAACUAUACUUCAGUUAAAACACUUUAUAUUUCAAAAGUAUAAAUAACAAUAUUAAAAUAACCAUUUAAGUGAAUCAUUCAAAGUAAGUAUUGUGGCUUUAUGUUCAUACUAUUGUAGAAAAUAUUGUUUUUGGCUCACACCGGUAAUACCAGCACUUUUGGAGGCUGAAGCAGGUGCAUCACCUGAGGUCAGGAGUUCGAGACCAGUCUGACCAACAUGGUGAAAUCCUGUCUCUACUAAAAAUACAAAAAAGUAGCCGGACAUGGUGGUGCAUGCCUGUAUUCCCAGCCACUCGGGAGGCUGAGGCAGGAGAAUUACUUGAAACCAGAAGGCAGUGAUUGCAGUGAGCCAAGAUUACACCACUGCACUCCAGCCUGGGCAACAGAGUAAGACUGUUUUUUAAAAAAAAAAAAAAAAAAAAAAAAAAAGGCCAGGCAUGGUGGCUCAUGCCUGUAAUCCCAUCACUUCGGGAGGCUGAGGCAGGCAGAUCACCUGAGGUCAGGAGUUCAAGACCAGCCUGAUCAACAUGGAAAAACCGCAUCUCUAUUAAAAAUACAAAAUGAGCUGGGCCUGGUGGUGCAUGCCUGUAAUCCCAGCUACUGGGAGCUGAGACAGGAAAAUUGCUUGAACCUGGGAGGCAGAGUUUGCCUGAGCCGAGAUCAAACCAUUGCACACCAUCCUGGACAACAAGAGCAAAACACCUCGAAAAAAAAAAUGUUUAAUUUAUAUUAAUGCAGUUUGCCUACAAACCCUACACAUAACUAUCCUAAUUGUUCUGAAGUAAUAAAUAGAAAGCAAGAUACAACUACAGACUCCACUGUUUAUGCACUGUUCUUGCUUUUGCAGUAUAAGUACUUCAGCCUGCAAAUAUUGGAUAAUUACCUUGGAUAAUCAGGUUUCUGUAAAAGAAACUUAAUACCUUUUAGUCUUUAGCAUUCUGCAUUGCUAAAUUUAAUCCUAUCUUUCUGCUAAGCUUCUGUGUGCUCUUAAAAUGAGCUUUUAUCUAAACAAAUCUGUGUCUAAUUUAAAGGACUAAAAAUGAAAAAAAUAAACUUUUCAGAAGCAAAAAUAAAGCAAUAAUUCUGAAGUACUACAUAAAGAUAAUCUGGACCCGAGAAAAUGACAAAGGGUUUAUUUAGCUGUUCAUAUGAUUUACAUGUAUUUCAAAAAAAGCAGAGAAAAGCAUCUACAUAUAACCUAAAUUCCUUAAGAAAAGAGAGAAUAUCAAAAUAUUUUUUAAGCUUUUUAUUUAUUUAUUAUACUUUAAAGUUCUGGGGUACAUGUGCAUAACGUGCAGGUUUGUUACAUAGGUAUACACGUGCCAUGAAGGUUUGCUGCACCCAUCAAACCAUUAUUUACACUAGGUAUUUCUCCUAAUGCUGUCCCUCCCCUAGCCCCCCAAUCCCCUUUUUUGGAACUUUUUAAAGAGUUUUUGAACUCUUGGACAUCAGAAUUUUACACACUGUAUGCACUUGAAAAAAUGCUUAUGGGGGAAAAAGCAGAAGAGAGAAAGAUAUUAUAAAAAAAAGUUCAUGAGUGCACAAGACCAAUGCAACAGAAUAGAGAGCCCAGAAAUAAUGCCACCCUCCUACCAUCAUCAGAUUUUUGGCAAAGCUGAUAAGAGAAAUGUGGAAAGAAUUCUCCAUUUAAUAAAUGGUGCUGGAAUAACUAGCUAGCACUAUGUAGAAGACUGAAAGUGGACCCCUUCAUUACACAAUAUACAAAAUCAACUCAAGAUUAAUUAAAGACUUAAAUGAAAAACUUAAAAUUGUAAGAAACCUUGCAAGAUAACCUAGGAAGUACCAUUCUAGACACAGAAACUGGCAAACACUUCAUGAUGAAGCUACCAAAAGCAAUUGCAACAAAAGCAAAAAUUGACAAUGGGACCUAUUUGAACUAAAGAGCUUCUUCACAGCAAAGGAAACUAUUAACAGAGUAAACAGACAACCUACAGAAUAAAAAAAAUUUGCAAACUUUGCCUCUGACAAAAGUCUAAUAUCCAGAAUUUAUUAAGAACUUAAACAAGUUUACAAGAAAAAAAAAAUCUCAUUAAAAAAUAGGCCAAAAAAACAUGAAUAGAUGCUUUUCAAAAGAACAUAUACAUGUGGCUAGCAAGCAUAUGAAAAAAAAAAAGCUCAUCACUAAUCAUUAGAGAAAUUAAGAGAAACCACAAUGAGAUACCACAUCACACCAGUCAGAAUGGCUAUUUUUAAAAAGUCAAAAAAUAACAGAUGCUGGCAAGGUUGCAGAGAAAAGGGAAUGCUUAUACUCUACCUCAUAAUUGGGUAUAUACCCAAAGAAAUAUAAAUUAUUGUAUUAUAAAGAUACAUUCAUAUGUAUGUUCAUUGCAGCACUAUUCACAAUAGCAAAGACAUGGACAGGCCCUAUCAGUGGUAGACUGGAUAAAGAAAACACGGUAUGGUCAGAUGCGGUGGCUCAUGCCUGUAAUCCCAGCACUCUGGGAGGCUGAGGCAGGUGGAUUGCCUGAGCUUAGAAGUUUAAGACCAACCUGGGCAACAUUGCAAAAUCCUGUCUCCACAGAAAAUACAAAGAGAAAAAUUGGCCAGGCGUGGUAACACCAGCGUGUAGAUCAAGCUACGUGAAAGGAUGAGGUAGGAGAGAAUUGCUUGAGCCAGGGAGGUUGAGGCUAAAUAAGGCUGCAUCACUCCACAGCACUCUAGCCUGGGCAAUAAGUGACACUCUGUCUCCAAAAAUAAAAUAAAAUAAAAGAUUUAGUAAAAACAAAAUAUGGUACAUAAAUAUCAUGGAAUACUCUCUGGCCAUUUAAAAAUAAAUGAUCAUGUCCUUUGCAAUAACAUCAAUAAAGCUGUAGACCAUUAUUUCAGAAAACUAAUGCAGAAACAGAAAACCAGACAUUCGCCAUCACACCCAGCUAAUUUUUGUACUUUUAGUAGAGAUGGGGUUUCCCCAUUUUGGCCAGGCUGGUCUUCAACUCCUGACCUCAAGUGAUCCAUCCACCUCGACCUCCUGAAGUGUUGUUAUUACAGGCGUGAGCCACCGCGCCCGGCCCCAUAAAUUUUUAAUAGGAGAAAAGGGAAACUGUGAACCCUGACAGAUAUAAUAGAUUCCUCUUCAAGGGCCUAACUUUCUUGUUCCUUGUUCUUAGGACCAACUUUUUUGUACCUCUUUGUACCUAGACACCCGCUCCGUAAACAACCCAAACCGCCUGUUCCAAUCUGCGACCCGAACCCCUUCCUUAUUUGGAAAGUAGCCAAUCGGGUCAGCCUAGAUUGUGAGGUCAGACCCCGGCCAAUGGGGGAAGGACACAGAGGCAAUAACGGCGUUUAGGGUUAAAAACCCCUUUCAAACUGGGAGGCCGAGGCGGGCGGAUCAACUGAGUUCGGGAGUUCAAAACCAGCCUGACCAACAUGGUGAAACGGCAUGUCUACUAAAAAUACAAAAUCAGCCGGGUGUGGUGACGCAUGCCUGUAACCCCAGCUACUCGGGAGGCUGAGGCAGGAGAAUCACUUGAACCCGGGAGACGGAGGUUGCAGUGAGCCGAGAUCGCGCCAUUGUACUUUAGCCUGGGCCACAAGAGCAAAACUCCGCCUCAAAAAAAAAAAAAACCUUCCUUCCUUUCUUCUGUGUGCUCUUGCGAUCAGGUCGGACGCGAGCAGCACUCUUCUUCAGAAUUGCGGAAGGCCCUCGUGACUGGACCUCCUGCCAAACAACUCGUUACAAAAAACUGAGGGUACCAGACUGCGCCAAAGCUUCAUGAGACCUGUCCUCAUCUGUGCAGAAAUGAGUGGCCGACUCUGGAACCCAGGCUGUUGCUUACCACCUUGGUGGUGAAACCUCCAUACUCUAGUCCUGAAGGGGCGAGGCCUUAAGCAUUAUCCAAUCAGGGACACUGGGCUGGAAACCGUCCAAUCAGACACCCAGCUGGAGCGAACAGGUCGACUUCCGAGUUUGGCGGGGCCUUUGUCUCUCACUGCACCUGGAGCUCCAGGUCUCAUCUUCACUACUCUGUGUCCUCUGCUGCUGGAGGCCCAGCCCUGUGACCUGACGGUUUUGGGAGAUCCACAGCUAAGACGCCAGGACCUCCUGGAAGCCUAGAAAUGGACCACCUGAAGCAUGGAGUGUAGACUUUCAAGGGAGCAGGUGGCAGCCUUGGGGCUGAAAGGCAUCUUCUGGUGCACUUUUUUUUUUUUGAAAAGCUAACCCCUUGAGACAUGAAGAUUGUCUUCACUCAACCUGGCUUUCAUUUCUAGGAGACACAUUGCUGGUCAGUCAAUCAGAUGCUGGUAUUGAGGGGAAAACAAAUAAUUUCUGUCUUCUGGAUUAUCUUGUGGGAGGGGCAGAAAAAUAGUGAAAAAACACUCCAAAAGACAAAAAACUGACCCCAGUGAGAUGGCAUAAAUAACUUACAAAGUAAAAUGCACCUGGGGCACUCACUGGGGCAUAGUGCAGUGUCUCCUGGGAGGGUGGUUAUUGCGCAUGUAAGUGAACAGGAUGGGGUGGGUGAUUGGAUCUGUACCUUGAAAAGAUUUGUUUACUUAUUUUGACCUCAGUUUUUUUUUAGACAGUCUCCCUCUGUUGCAUAGGCUGGAAUGCAGUGGCU
Molecule: long non-coding RNA, 4971 nt
Organism: Homo sapiens (human)
Lineage: Eukaryota; Metazoa; Chordata; Mammalia; Primates; Hominidae
Exons: 4
Source: RefSeq, a predicted model, not a curated record